CACCGACCGCGAGAUCGUGACCUGGCUGAAGUCGGACGCCUAACCGACUGCGCCACCCAGGCGCCCCUCGCUGUCUCUUAAGUAAACAAACAUUAAAAAAAAAAAAAAAGAGUCCUUCAGGGGCCUCAGGGGUUGAGAGCCAGCUUUAAGGCAUUCAUAUUUAGGAACGUGAUUUUAAAAUUCAGGAUAUAGGCAGUUAUGCGUAGUGCCUGAGGCACAGAUCCCGCGUCCUGUCCUGCCCCGGCGUCCGUGGCUUGUGUCCAGAGCCUGUGUUUAGGGAUGUCUGUGCGGCUGUGGCCCCUGGGGACAGGUCUGCGGCCGCGGUGAUUGGCCCUCCACGGCUUGCCUCCGCUGUCAGUUCUGCUGUGUUGUGGCGGUCUGCUGAUUGAGGCACACCUCGUUCUGGUACGCUUCACAGAUCCCGCAUUGCCCACACAUCGGUCUGCGGUGACCCUGUGUUGAGCGAGUCUAUUGGCGCCAUUUUCCCAACAGCGCCUGCUUGCUUGCUGUCCCUGUGUCACAUUUUGCUAAUUCUCACGAUACUUCGAGAUUCUUAUUUUUUUAUUAUUUUUUUUUAAAGUUAACUUUUUUUAGUUGUGAGAGAGAGCAUGAGCUGGGCAGAGGGGCAGAGGGAGACAGAGAAUCCCAAGCAGGCUCCACGCUCAGCCCGAUCCCACAACCUGAGCCGAAAUAAAGAGUUGGACGCUCAACUAAUUGAGCCAUCCAGAUGCCCCAAGGUUUUUUUUCAUAAUGUGUCACGGUGAUCUGUGACCGUGAUCUUUGACGUUACCAUCGUGAUUGUUUUGGGGACCAGGAACUGCGUUCACGUAAGGGCAAACCUAAUCGAUAACCGUGUGUGUGUGCUGACCGCUGUCCCGACCGGCCGCUCCCCCGUCUCCCUCCUCGUCCUCGAGCCUCCCUGUUUCCCGAGGCACAACAACACUGAAACUGGGCCACGUAAUGACCCUACAGAGGCCCCCGGGGUCCCAGCGAAAGGAAGAGUCUCACGUCUCUGACGUCAGAUCACGAGCUUCGGACGAGUAAGCUCGGUGAGGAAGGCGGAAACCGGGCCCCUCGUCCCGGACGCUUAGCCGGGUGGUCGGCGCAAAGGACACGCUCCGGAAGGAAAUUAGCAUGGGAAAGAAUCAGCCUCCCCGUUUUAGCGGUCGGGACAGAAGAGCGAACCAGCCACGGCAUCCCCGUAAGCUACAGCCUAACCCAGAGCCACGUGCUGACUGCCUCAGUUCCACGAAGGCUGAGGCGGGGAGGAAGCUGUGGGAGGAGAGUCUGAAGCCAGCAGACGCCGCGUCCAAGACGGAAGAGUGCACGGCGGUGUAGACGCGGCCGCAGGGGGUCCGGAAGAUCCAGCUGCGACCGUUAACGAAGGGGCCCGCACGCCACACGGGUCGAGGACGUGCGUCAGGACGUGCGUAGUUGGAGAGACGUCGGCACCUGGCUUCCCAGCCUCAAGGGACCGGCCGACCCUCCCGUCCCGGGGUGACGGAGCGGCCGGUGACCGCAAGCCGGGGCCAGUGCCCAGCGACCCAUCCCAAGUCCGAGGGCCCCGAGCGAGCACGCGGAGUGGGCGCUGCCUGUCCUCUGCCGACGGGACGCCGCCGCCCGGAUGGCAGCGCGUCUGUGUGCGACGCCCCUGGUCACCCGAGAGCUCGGACAGACACGGGCAGUGAGACGAGCGUGGUGUUCAUGCCUGACUCGGCAUCCGUCCUGCCGCCCGUGGACCGAGGGGUCGUUUCGGUCCUCAAGACUUCUUUAACAGGCGCACUUCGUAAGGCUGUAGCUGCCACGGAUGGUGCUUCCUCUGCUGGGAAAAGUCCGCCGAAAACCCGCCGGAAAGCAGUCACCCUUCUCGAUGCCAGAAAACCUGCCGGAAAGGAGUCACCGUUCUCGAUGCCACUAAGAACGUACGUGAUUCGCAGGAAGAGGCCAAAAUACCAGUUGUGACAGUUCGGCAGAAGGCGAGGCCAGCCCUCAGGGACGACCUCGAGGGGUUCGGGACACGGGCGAGGAAGUCCGUGCAGAUGUGGGGGAACAGGAAGAGAACAGAACCAGAGGUGGAGCCUGCGGGUGGGGCUGGACGGCUUCCGUCUCACGCUUCACCAGACGAGGACCCGCUCCUUCCGGGUGAGCAAGUGAGGAGGUUUCUGGAGCCGGAACCCGCUCCUGGUGAAGGCGCCGCGCGGACGGUCGAAAUGACCGCAAAGGGUUGAGAACAGCGCGUAAACGGAGUCGCUAAAGCCGCAGCAGGUGUGAGCGGCUGGACCCCAGGCGUGAAGGAAGUUCUCCUGUGGGUAGAUGCUAUCGAACAGCAUCGCACGCUACGGAGGGGCCUUUCGGGAAAGAGCACAGCAGACUUGAUCGUCUCAUUUCAGAACUUGCCAGAACCACCCCAGCCUCCGGCAACCUCCACCCUGACGGUCAGCAGCCGGCGGCCUCCAGGAAAACCUUCCACCGGCAGAAAGGUUACAGCCCGCUGCAGGCUUGGGUGAUGGUGACUCCGCGUUGAGCGGGACAGUGUGGCCCUUCUUGGGAAACAGUGGGGCUGAGCCGUGUCCUCACCACUCGCAGGACGGGUCCAUCCUGACUGGGACAUCAGUCCUGGUGGGAACAUCCAGUCCUUCGUCCAGCAGGGCUUCUUGAGGGGGACGGACCACAAACACGGAGAGGGAAGUAGUGAAUGUGGAAUGUGCGUCGGAAGGUGGACAGAGGGUGGGUGGCCGUCAGGACGGCAGGGGCCUUCGUGUGGCCUGGGGGACAGGCGGGCCCGACCUGGGCCUGGCACUACUCUGACCUUCGCUGCGUUUGCGUGUCGGGGUUUGCGGGGCCUGCGUCUCAGUUGUCAGAAGCAUGAGUCCGGGGGUCUCGCGUCGGCCCGCUCUCGUGAGCCAGCUAAUGCGGACGCCAGUGUGGGGACUUCAGCCCGAAGCCGUGCCCUCCCACCAUGGGCAUUGGAGGCGGUGAAUGGGACGCCUGAGGGGUGGGUGUAGAGCGCACUCAGGUGUGUGGGGGGCGGGGAUGGUGUGCGGGGCACAGGCAGGUGUGCGGGG
Felis catus (domestic cat) is the source of this 3065-nucleotide long non-coding RNA. RefSeq lists it as uncharacterized. The transcript has 2 exons. Lineage: Eukaryota; Metazoa; Chordata; Mammalia; Carnivora; Felidae. The record is from RefSeq and is a predicted model, not a curated record.